GACGAACGCUGGCGGCGUGCUUAACACAUGCAAGUCGAACGGAAAGGCCCUGCUUUUGUGGGGUGCUCGAGUGGAGAACGGGUGAGUAACACGUGAGUAACCUGUCCUUGACUUUGGGAUAACCUCAGGAAACUGGGGCUAAUACCGGCUAGGAGCUCUUGCUGCAUGGUGGGGGUUGGAAAGUUUCGGCGGUUGGGGAUGGACUCGCGGCGUAUCAGCUUGUUGGUGGGGUAGUGGCUUACCAAGGCCUUGACGGGUAGCCGAGCUGAGAGGGUGACCGGCCACAUUGGGACUGAGAUACGGCCCAGACUCGUACGGGAGGCAGCAGUGGGGAAGAUUGCACAAUGGGCGGAAGCCUGAUGCAGUAACGCCGCGUGCGGGAUGUCGGCAUUCGGGUUGUAAACCGCUGUCGCCUGUGACGAAGCGUGAGUGACAGUAAUGGGUAAAGAAGCACCGGCUAACUACGUG
This 468-nucleotide ribosomal RNA is filed under the name uncultured bacterium. RNAcentral's name for it is "partial 16S ribosomal RNA". It matches the Rfam family "Bacterial small subunit ribosomal RNA", at positions 28 to 507 of the family's 1533-position model. The record is from RNAcentral.